GGGGGUGUAGCUCAGCUGGGAGAGGCACUUGCCUUGCACGCAAGGGGUCAGGAGUUCGAUCCUCCUCAUCUCCACCA
This 77-nucleotide transfer RNA is filed under the name Paraclostridium bifermentans. RNAcentral describes it as "tRNA-Ala". It matches the Rfam family "tRNA". From Rfam's summary of the family: Transfer RNA (tRNA) molecules are approximately 80 nucleotides in length. Their secondary structure includes four short double-helical elements and three loops (D, anti-codon, and T loops). The record is from RNAcentral. Lineage: Bacteria; Bacillati; Bacillota; Clostridia; Peptostreptococcales; Peptostreptococcaceae.